AUUGAACGCUGGCGGCAGGCCUAACACAUGCAAGUCGAACGGUAACAGGGAUCAGCUUGCUGAUUCGCUGACGAGUGGCGGACGGGUGAGUAAUGUCUGGGAAACUGCCUGAUGGAGGGGGAUAACUACUGGAAACGGUAGCUAAUACCGCAUAACGUCGCAAGACCAAAGAGGGGGACCUUCGGGCCUCUUGCCAUCGGAUGUGCCCAGAUGGGAUUAGCUAGUAGGUGGGGUAACGGCUCACCUAGGCGACGAUCCCUAGCUGGUCUGAGAGGAUGACCAGCCACACUGGAACUGAGACACGGUCCAGACUCCUGCGGGAGGCAGCAGUGGGGAAUAUUGCACAAUGGGCGCAAGCCUGAUGCAGCCAUGCCGCGUGUAUGAAGAAGGCCUUCGGGUUGUAAAGUACUUUCAGCGGGGAGGAAGGGAGUAAAGUUAAUACCUUUGCUCAUUGACGUUACCCGCAGAAGAAGCACCGGCUAACUCCGUG
This 490-nucleotide ribosomal RNA is filed under the name uncultured bacterium. Its description in RNAcentral is "partial 16S ribosomal RNA". It matches the Rfam family "Bacterial small subunit ribosomal RNA", at positions 30 to 507 of the family's 1533-position model. The record is from RNAcentral.